RNAcentral lists this long non-coding RNA (2166 nucleotides) under Gossypium barbadense (sea-island cotton). Its description in RNAcentral is "long non-coding RNA (GBAR_LNC020288)". Lineage: Eukaryota; Viridiplantae; Streptophyta; Magnoliopsida; Malvales; Malvaceae. The record is from RNAcentral.
UUAGGUACUUAACUUUGAUUGUCAACUUAGCAUCCAAAGAUAAACCUGAAUCAACGUUGGUGAUGUACUCUUUUUGUGUCUUGGUAUGUACUUAAGAUGUUAAUAGUUUUAGAAAUGGUCAUUUUGUGUAUUAGUUAGUUUUGUGAAUGUUAUGUUUAUAUGAUGUUUGUUAUGUGAAUUUGGGCUAUGUUUUGUAUUAGUUGCAAAUACUUCUGUAUAUGGUUGAUGAUAUAUGUUAAAUGAAAUUGGUUCUUUUGGAAGUGUAUGCUAUGAAUUAUCUUGAUUUGAGUUAAUUUAUGGAAUGUUGUGGUAGAUAGGUUAGUGGUUCUUGAUGAUGAAUAAAUGGGAUAUAUGGAUGAUUAAGGUUAAUGCUAGUUAAAUGAUUAUUGAAUUAUGGUGUAAAUGAGGGGACAUUGGUUAGGCACAUAAAUUGUAGGAAAUUGACAUGUUUUGACUUAUUUGAAAGUGUUUUUGGUAGUGUUUAUAGGGUGGUUUUAUGCUUGGCUUGUUACCUAAGAUAGGUGUGAAUCAUGCUUUGUUUUAUAAGCAAGAUUUAGUGCACACGGCCUAGGGCACGGGAUGUCACGCGGCCGUGUGACACACACGGUUAUGUGUCUUAAUGUUUCUAAGUGCAGGUUCCACACGGUCUGGCACACGGCCUGCAACACAGUCGUGUGUCCUAAAAUAGUUUGUCACACAGUUUGGGACAUGAACAGCCACACAGUCGUGUGACCCAACAUCGAAUGCACACACAGUUAGGCACACGACCUACGACACGGUCGUGUGGCCUUAAUUCAAAUAUACACACGGGCUGGGACACAACCGUAUGUCCAGACUUCGAAUGUCCACACGGUCUGGGCUACGUCACACGGCCGUGUGACCCUUGCUUCCAAAAUUUUCAACUUUUUCCUAGUUUUUCUGUUUUGUUUCGAAGUAAUAUGUUCUAUAAAGGUAGUUGGAUUUGAUUAUGGUCUUUAUUUUUUUUCAUUAUUUCUAUACGAGUAGGAAAACAACCUAUCCUAAGACCAAGAAACCCAUUUUCAAUAUAAUUGACUAAUAUUUCACUCCAUUACAAGUUUUUUUUUCCUUAUGAACUAAAACAACUCAAAAUUCAAUUAUGAAUUUUGAAAUUUAAGGUUUCAAAACCUCGAAUAAUUCAAUAGAUAUUGCUAUCAAAAUAAAGCUAAACACCAAAUUCCAUAAGCCUAAACCCAAAAUAUUAGAAUAUUCAGUCGAUUAGUAACGGAACACUAACCUUUGCUUCACCUUUUCAAAGCUCAGCAAUAGAGAAAUGUUUUUUUGGGUUUCUCUUUCCUCUUGAUUGAAAGUUUAGUAUUUCCGGUUUGAUUUCAAUACUCGAUAGGAUUUCUAGAGAUCCAAGGUUUUAAAAUGAGUCAAGGUUUCAAUCUUUCUCUUGUUUUCAAAAGGUUUCAAUCUUUGGUACGUUUGUUUACUAUGAGAGAUUUUUCUACUUGAGUUAAGUUUCUUUUAGAUAAUUACAUUUAUUUUCUUUAAAGGGUUAAAUAUAAAAUUGGUACCCGAGGUUGUCCAUUUCUCCUAAAUUGAUACUUAUGGUUUCUUUUGUCCCAGAUUGGUACUCGAACUUUUUUUUCGUCAACUAAAUAAGUAUCUGAGCCUAACACCGUUAAGUUCAGGACAAAUAGCGGAAUAAGAUUGUGACAUGUAACAUAAAUGACGUCAUGAUGUUGUUAUAAUCUAAAAAAAUUUUAAAACUUAUCUAUUUUAUUUUUGCUCCCCUAAUUUUUUUUGUUUGCGUAAUUAAUUUUCUUUCUUUUUUUUGUUUCUUCUAUCAUUUCUUCUUCUUCUUUCUCCCUCAGCCCAUGUUUCUCUUCUUUUUCUUUUCUUUUUUGUAAAAUUUUCGUUAAAAAGUUCUUGAGCCGCUCCACCCAGUUCAGUUCACUCAUCUUUUCCUCCUUAAGGUCUUUAGAAGUGACGGACAUCGUCAUCGAAAUAGCAGCCGCAACAUCGCUACGCCACGGCAAUACCAAUCUGCUGAUAUUCUCUUUGGAUUUGCUAUAAGGUAAGAGGAGGCAUGAUUAAUUGAUUCUAAGUAUUAGAUUGAUAGGUGAAAGUUCCAUCUUUGGGUUUCAUUUUCUUUUCGAGGUUUAAUAAUAUGAUGAGAUGAUUAAUAUUAUAACAAUUAAU